CUGAUUAAUGUGUGUACUGAAUAUUAAAGUUUCACAGUAUCAUUGUACAGGUAUAAAUUUGUUAAGUUCGUUAUUGAAGCAGCACGCAGACGGCGUCAUCACAUGAUAGCUGAUAGCCUACUUUUCUAAGCACAGGCACCUGCACAUCAGAAGCAUUCAAAAUUGUCAAACUUUACAGCGACGUACCUCCCAGAAGACUGAGUCAUCGAAGCAGUUUUGAUCAGGUGGCUGCCCCAGGAAUGGAAUCUUCAUUAUCAGGCCUGGAGAAGGGAAAAAUCUUUUACUUUGUGUUUUGUACAGUUUUGUGUAUAUUGUGAUAUAUAACAGAGUAAUGCUAAUUGGUUGAAUGAGAAAUAAGUGUGUCCAAAAAUAGUUUAAAAUCCAUGUGACAAGUUUUUACAUAUAGGUUCUUUUUGAAUUCACGUUGGUUUCACACGGUUGUGAAAAAUCUUAAUACAUGUUUCUAUUUACAUUGCUACAUAAUAUCAUGUUGUGUGUGUAUGUGUACGUGUACAGUAUGUACAAUGCGUGUCAAAUAUUUCAUGUUUGGAUUCAUGUUCUUCAAAGAAAACUGUACAUAUAUUAAUUGUAUGCACGAAAGGCAUUUUCCUUUAAAUGUAUUAAUUUAUACAAAACCCUUUUAUAUUUUGCAAUAUCUUGCAGAUUUUAUGGUCCUUGUAUUAACACCUACCUGUGACCAACCC
Carassius auratus (goldfish) is the source of this 704-nucleotide long non-coding RNA. RefSeq lists it as uncharacterized. The record is from RefSeq and is a predicted model, not a curated record. The transcript has 3 exons. Lineage: Eukaryota; Metazoa; Chordata; Actinopteri; Cypriniformes; Cyprinidae.